Molecule: ribosomal RNA, 253 nt
Filed under: uncultured bacterium
Lineage: Bacteria
Description: partial 16S ribosomal RNA
Rfam family: Bacterial small subunit ribosomal RNA
Source: RNAcentral
UACGUAGGGGGCAAGCGUUGUCCGGAAUCAUUGGGCGUAAAGCGCGUGUAGGCGGCCCGGUAAGUCCGCUGUGAAAGUCGGGGGCUCAACCCUCGAAUGCCGGUGGAUACUGUCGGGCUAGAGUGCGGAAGAGGAGAGUGGAAUUCCCGGUGUAGCGGUGAAAUGCGCAGAUAUCGGGAAGAACACCCGUGGCGAAGGCGGCUCUCUGGGCCGAUACUGACGCUGAGGAGCGAAAGCGUGGGGAUCAAACAGG